UACGUAGGCGGCCUUUUAAGUCGGAUGUGAAAGCCCCGGGCUCAACCUGGGAAUUGCAUUCGAUACUGGGAGGCUAGAGUUUGGCAGAGGCUGACGGAAUUCCUGGUGUAGCGGUGAAAUGCGUAGAUAUCAGGAGGAACAUCAGUGGCGAAGGCGGUCAGCUGGGCCAAAACUGACGCUGAGGUACGAAAGCGUGGGGAGCAAACA
Molecule: ribosomal RNA, 207 nt
Filed under: uncultured bacterium
Lineage: Bacteria
Description: partial 16S ribosomal RNA
Rfam family: Bacterial small subunit ribosomal RNA
Source: RNAcentral